AAUUGAUAGAGGAAAGAGGUUUAAUUGACUCACAGUUUCACCUGGUUGAGGAGGCCUCACAAUCAUGGAGGAAGGCAAGGAGGAGCAAAGCCACAUCUUACAUAGUGGCAGGCAAAGAGAGAGCUUGUGCAAGGGAACUCUCAUUUAUAAAACCAUCAGAACUCUUGAGAUUUAUUCACUACCAUGAGAACAGCAUGGGAAAGACCCGUCCCCAUGAUUUAAUUACCUCCCACUGCAUCCCUCCCAUGACAGGCGGGAAUUAUGGGAGCUACAAUUCAAGAUGAGAUUUGGGUAGGGACACAGCCAAACCAUAUCAUUCUGCCCCCAACCCCUCCCAAAUUUCAUGUUCUCACAUUUUAAAACCAAUCAUACCUUCCCCACAGUCCCCCAAAUUCUUAACUCAUUUCAGCAUAAACUUAAAAGUCCAUAGUCCAAAGUCUCAUUUAAGACAAGGUGAGUUCCUUCCACCUAGGAGCCUGUAAAAUCAAAAGCAACUUAGUUACUUCCCAGAUACAAUGGGGGUACAGGUAUCGGGUAAAUACACCCAUUCCAAAUGUGACAGACUGGCCAAGAUGGAGGGGCUACAGGCCCCAUGCAAGUUAGAAAUCCAGCAGGGCAGCCAAAUCUUAAAGCUCUGAAAUUAUCUCCAUGGACACCAUUUCUCACAUCCAAGUUAUGCUGCAAGAGGUGGGUUCCCAUGGUCUUGGGCAGCUCUGCCUCUGUGUCUUUGUGGCUGCUUUCACUCCUGGUGUUGAGUGUCUAUGGCUCUUCCAGGUGCACAGUGUAAGCUGUUGGUGGAUCUACCAUUCUGGGGUCUGGAGGACGCUGGCCCUCUCCUCACAGCCCCACUAGGCGGUGCCUCAGUGGGGACUCUGUGUGGGGUUUCAAGCCCACAUUUCCCUUCUUCAUUGCCCUAGCAAAGGUUCUCCAUGAGGGCGCUGUUCCUGAAGCAAACUUCUGACUGGACAUCCAGGCAUUUCUCUACAUCCUCUGAAAUCUAGGCGGAGGUUCCCAAACCUCAAUUCUUGACCUCUGUGCACCCGCAGGCUCAACACCAUGUGGAUGCUGCCUAGGCUUGGAGCUUGCACCCUUUCAAGCCAUGGCCCCAGCUGUACCUUGGCCCCUUUUAUCCAUGGCUAGAGCAACUGGGAUGCAGGAUAUCAAGUCCCUAGGCUACACACAGCCAAAUCAUAUCACAAGGGGUGGAUUAUUCAUGAAUUUUCCAGGAAGAGUGGGCAAUUCCCAGAACUGGGGGUUCCUCCCCUUUUUAGACUAUAUAGGGUAAUUUUCUGAUGUUGCUAUGGAAUUUGUAAACUGUUUUGGUGUGGGUAGGAGUGUCUUUUAGCAUGCUAAUGCACUGUAAUUAGCAUAUAAUGAGCAGUGAGGACAAUUAGAAGUCACUUUUGUUGCUAUCUUGGUUUUGGCCGGCUUUUCUUACUACAACCUGUUUUAUCGGCAAGGUCUUUAUAAGCUGUAUCUUGUUCUGACCUCCUAUCUCAUCCGGUGAGUUAGAAUGCCUUAACCAUCUGGGAAUGCAACCCAGCAGUUCUCAGCCUUGUUUUACCCAGACCCUAUUCAAGGUGGAGUUGUUCUGAUUCAAAUGUCUCUGACAUUUCCCCCCUCCCUUUUACAAGGCAACUCUUAAUCCUAAGGGUUGUGGAAGGAUGAAGAUCCAUAUUCUGUAACUUCUUCAGGCUGAAUAGGGGCAAUGCUUUCCUGCCUAACUGUUAGGGUCUCUUGUAUUCAGGGUAGAGAGGAGCUCAGAAAGCAUAAUUAUGGUGAGGGUCACUUGUAACUCCGAGUUCUGACAAAAGGUGGUAUCUGUCUUGUUUAUUCUGAACUGCAACCAGAGAUCACUGGUUGGCUCACAGGAAUAAGCAGUCAGUCUAAAUUGCAGAAGAAAACCCUCAAAAACAACUGAUGAGAUUAGAAUCUAAUAACAGGUGUACCAUAGUUCUUGAAACAUAAUUUUUCUCUCUCCAGUCUCCCAUUUUUUACUAAAGACAAAUCAUGGCAAAACCAAUUUGCUUUAUUAUACUUGGCCUAAUUAUUUGUAUAAAGUGCAGCAAUAAUAAUUAUUUUUCACAGAGGCUUUUAAAAUUGACUUUGAUGGAACUGUGUUUCAUAAAAUGAAUCUCAGAUAAGACUUUUUAAAAGCUGAGCCCAGCCGUGAGUUUGCACCCUCAAAUACCUGAGUUGGGUAAAUUCCUCUCCUCUUGAGGUCCCAAGAUAACCUGGGGCUCCUGGGCCAAUCAGAAAGUGACAUUCUUUACUUACCACAGGUCGGGAACCCUGUACAGGGACUGUGUAGACAAGGCAUGAGGCCAGGUUUCCCAAGGGGCUUUUAUUGGCUUUAUAAGUCAAGUUUGAUUCCUUAAAGGAAAACAUACCAUUCCAAUCAAAGCUUUGGUAAAAUCACCAGUUUCUCCAAUUGUGUCUGUUUGCAAAAGAAAACAGAUCCUUAUUGUACUUAUGCAAAUAACUAUAUUGCUAUAAGUUAAGAAUACUCACAAAUAGUUUCCAAAUUUUGGAGAAAUCAGGCAGAGAGAAACAAAUAUGCUCCAAAUUUUGUUCACAGGAGUUAAGCUGUCAGUAGCUCAAAAGAAAAGUUUCCUUGACUCUGAAAAACAAAACAAAGGAUCCGCAACAUUUUAAGCAAAAAGCCGAAAAAGAUCACCUCAGUCCUCUAUUAGUUCAGUCCAUACAGAUAACUUCUGUUCUGUUUGAUAUUCAAAGAAGAUCCAGUAGUUGUAAGAUUGUUCAUUUGCCAGUUUGUUAAUUGGAUUACUGGCAGGGUGGAGCCUUUGGAGGAACAGGGCCAGGAAAGCAUGCAGUUUCUACAGCCUAACAAGCAGGCACAGCUGGAAGGCAAAAACAGAUCCCCAAAAAUUAAGGGCCUCAUUUUUACACCAGGUCCUGGAUCCCCAAAAGAAAUGCUAUAGAACAAGACAGUACAAUAAUUUUACCAUGCAUUUAAUUGCUAGGCAACCCAAAGUCAAUCAGCCCAUUCUGUGAUUAACCCAUCCCCCAUAGGAGUCUUAUGUCUGGGUGGGGGGAAAGGGCAUUUCCAUACUUUUUAGGUGGUCAAGAGCAUGCUUUUCUGUUCCAAGAAAAAGCAAAGCGCCAUAUAUUCCCAAACCACUGCCAUUAGUUAUUUACCAAAGUAUAUUUCCUAUCUAGUUAUUACACACCAGAGUUCUCUCAUAAUGCAAAGUAAUUUCUGAUAUUCCCCCAAAUCAAAACCAUCACAUAACACAAUGCGAAACAGAACAGAGUCUUCGAUCUGAGCAUCCCUCGAUGAGGGCUGUUGCGUCUUGAUUUCAUCUGGGUAGUUACAGGCAUCAUCCACCACGAAGUUUCCAACCCAGAGUCAGGAUGCAGC
Molecule: long non-coding RNA, 3382 nt
Filed under: Homo sapiens (human)
Lineage: Eukaryota; Metazoa; Chordata; Mammalia; Primates; Hominidae
Description: non-protein coding lnc-CCDC61-4:1
Source: RNAcentral